RNAcentral lists this ribosomal RNA (424 nucleotides) under uncultured bacterium. RNAcentral's name for it is "partial 16S ribosomal RNA". It matches the Rfam family "Bacterial small subunit ribosomal RNA", at positions 360 to 776 of the family's 1533-position model. The record is from RNAcentral.
AAUUUUGGACAAUGGGCGCAAGCCUGAUCCAGCCAUGCCGCGUGAGUGAAGAAGGUCUUCGGGUUGUAAAGCACUUUCGGCCGGGAAGAAAUCGCGCUGGCUAAUAUCCUGCGCGGAUGACGGUACCGUCAUAACAAUCACGGGCUAACUACGUUCCAGCAUCCGCGGUAAUGCGGAGGGUGCGAGCGAUAAUCGGAAGUACUGGGCGUAAGGCGUGCGCAGGCGGUAGGUUAAGACUGUCGUGAAAUCCACGGGAUUAACCAGGGAACGACGUGUGUGACUGGUCAGCUAGAGGACGGCAGAGGGGGGAGGAAGUCCACGUGUAGCAGUGAAAUGCGUAGAGAUGUGGAGGAACACCGAUAGCGAAGGCAGCCCCCUGGGCCGAAACUGACGCUCAUGCACGAAAGCGUGGGUAGCAAGCAGG